This 132-nucleotide non-coding RNA is filed under the name Yersinia kristensenii. RNAcentral's name for it is "Moco (molybdenum cofactor) riboswitch". It matches the Rfam family "Molybdenum/Tungsten riboswitch aptamer (Moco RNA motif)", at positions 10 to 125 of the family's 135-position model. The record is from RNAcentral. Lineage: Bacteria; Pseudomonadati; Pseudomonadota; Gammaproteobacteria; Enterobacterales; Yersiniaceae.
AAACUCCUAGCCUUGGUGUCUACGUUGUUGCUUUUAUGGACAAUAUGAUGCUCUGGCCGUGGCUUUAUGCCACCAGGGUGCGAGGUAGAAAUGCCUGCAUCUCCCGUAUUUGGAAAGGUGUUAUGGUACAAC